This 497-nucleotide ribosomal RNA is filed under the name uncultured bacterium. RNAcentral describes it as "partial 16S ribosomal RNA". It matches the Rfam family "Bacterial small subunit ribosomal RNA", at positions 28 to 507 of the family's 1533-position model. The record is from RNAcentral.
GAUGAACGCUGGCGGCGUGCCUAAUACAUGCCAGUCGAGCGAACGGACGAGAAGCUCGCUUCUCUGAUGUUAGCGGCGGACGGGUGAGUAACACGUGGAUAACCUACCUAUAAGACUGGGAUAACUUCGGGAAACCGGAGCUAAUACCGGAUAAUAUUUUGAACCGCAUGGUUCAAAAGUGAAAGACGGUCUUGCUGUCACUUAUAGAUGGAUCCGCGCUGCAUUAGCUAGUUGGUAAGGUAACGGCUUACCAAGGCAACGAUGCAUAGCCGACCUGAGAGGGUGAUCGGCCACACUGGAACUGAGACACGGUCCAGACUCCUACGGGAGGCAGCAGUAGGGAAUCUUCCGCAAUGGGCGAAAGCCUGACGGAGCAACGCCGCGUGAGUGAUGAAGGUCUUCGGAUCGUAAAACUCUGUUAUUAGGGAAGAACAUAUGUGUAAGUAACUGUGCACAUCUUGACGGUACCUAAUCAGAAAGCCACGGCUAACUACGUG